This is a non-coding RNA of Pelobates cultripes (western spadefoot toad), 352 nucleotides long. The record is from the annotation of a GenBank genome assembly. Lineage: Eukaryota; Metazoa; Chordata; Amphibia; Anura; Pelobatidae.
CUUCCUUAACCUCUGAAACCUCAUUGCAAGCCAAGUCAUUUGUCCCUAGAUGGACAAGUACAUCCAAUUCCCCUUCCUGCUUUGCACGCUUAACAAUAUUACAGAUACAUCUCCUGUCUCUGUGAGCAGUAGCUCUGGGAAGACACCUCACAAGACCACCAUUGUCCAUCUCCACACCUCUUAUGAUGGAAUCCCCCAACAACAACUGCUUUCUAUUAGGCCUCACCAUAGUCUCCAAGCCUGUCUCCACAACACCACUACCCUCAGUGCCUCUCUCCACAACACCACUACCCUCAGUGCCUGUCUCCAUAACACCAUUACACUCUGAAAGUGCAGAAAAUGAAUUAUGUAG